UACAGAGGUCUCAAGCGUUGUUCGGAUUCAUUGGGCGUAAAGGGUGCGUAGGCGGCGCGGUAAGUCGGGUGUGAAAUCUUGGAGCUUAACUCCGAAACUGCAUUCGAUACUGCCGUGCUUGAGGACUGGAGAGGAGACUGGAAUUCCCGGUGUAGCGGUGAAAUGCGCAGAUAUCGGGAGGAACACCUAUGGCGAAGGCAGCUCGCUGGGACGUUACUGACGCUGAGACGCGAAAGCGUGGGGAGCAAACAGG
RNAcentral lists this ribosomal RNA (253 nucleotides) under uncultured bacterium. Its description in RNAcentral is "partial 16S ribosomal RNA". It matches the Rfam family "Bacterial small subunit ribosomal RNA", at positions 524 to 776 of the family's 1533-position model. The record is from RNAcentral.